RNAcentral lists this long non-coding RNA (247 nucleotides) under Olea europaea (common olive). Its description in RNAcentral is "long non-coding RNA (OEUR_LNC009137)". The record is from RNAcentral. Lineage: Eukaryota; Viridiplantae; Streptophyta; Magnoliopsida; Lamiales; Oleaceae.
AAAAUGUUCCAUUAUACGUUUGAAAAAAAUAAGCCCAAUAUGACUUAUAUUGGGCAAUGCUCCAUCUUAGACGCGAAGCUGGUACCAGAGAGCAACAGCGUCGUUGCUAAUGCUGCAACAGGCGCGGAAUUGAUGCCGAAGAAAAAAUGGGGGCUGAUUUCGGGUUUUUUGGGUGAUUUCUUCCUAUUCAAAUCUAAUAUGCUUUAGCAAGAGUCUUGUGGUUGUUUUUUGUCGAUUGUUGGUGGUA